ACUCCUACGGGAGGGCAGCAGUGGGGAAUAUUGGGACAAUGGGGGGAAACCCCUGAUCCAGCCAUGCCGCGUGUGUGAAGAAGGCCCUUCGGGGUUGUAAAAGCACUUUCAGUGGGGAGGAAAGGUUGUUGGUUAAUACCUAACAGCUGUGACGUUACCCACAGAAGAAGCACCGGCUAACUCCGUGCCAGCAGCCGCGGUAAUACGGAGGGUGCAAGCGUUAAUCGGAAUUACUGGGCGUAAAGCGUGCGCAGGCGGUCUGUUAAGCGAGAUGUGAAAGCCCCGGGCUCAACCUGGGAACUGCAUUUCGAACUGGCAGACUAGAGUCUUGUAGAGGGGGUAGAAUUCCAGGUGGUAGCGGUGAAAUGCGUAGAGAUCUGGAGGAAUACCGGUGGCGAAGGCGGCCCCCUGGACAAAAGACUGACGCUCAGGGCCACGAAAGCGUGGGGGAGCAAACAGGAUUAGAUA
This 468-nucleotide ribosomal RNA is filed under the name uncultured bacterium. RNAcentral describes it as "bacterial SSU rRNA". It matches the Rfam family "Bacterial small subunit ribosomal RNA", at positions 335 to 784 of the family's 1533-position model. The record is from RNAcentral.